AAGGGUAGUCUUAGUUAAUUAAUUUUCAUAAUCUAGAAUAAUCAGUCAACAAGAUUUUGUUUAAAUUGAUUGGAUGCCCAGUUGUCAAAGGGCUUGUUUGCUGUAAUAUCAAGUUUUGUAUAUAAUGGAUUUAGAAAAAGUAAAAGAUACCGGCCACUGGUUGGAUAUCUAAAAAGAGGAAGCAUGCUGAUAGGGAGGAAAUAUAUCUCGGAUAGAUUUAUGUUGAGUUGAUGCUGGCAGUGACAUGCAUGUCUUCUGUGAUACCUUGUGCAUCAUAGAGUAAUGACCCAAUAUUGCCCUUUGGUA
RNAcentral lists this long non-coding RNA (306 nucleotides) under Elaeis guineensis (African oil palm). Its description in RNAcentral is "long non-coding RNA (EGUI_LNC009712)". Lineage: Eukaryota; Viridiplantae; Streptophyta; Magnoliopsida; Arecales; Arecaceae. The record is from RNAcentral.